AUAACUGAGAGCACUGGAGAGCCACGGUCGAUGGCAUCGCUGGAGGACGCGUGGGCUGACAGACAGUCUGGUAGGCCAGCUUUUCUCCGCUGCCCUCCUGACGACCCCAACCUGCUCUGGAGGAGCCAGCCCUUCUAGGGGUCAGAGAUAAUUCACAUGGUGUCCAUGCUGCGUCUUUUCACGAUGGGUGACUGCUCUGCUAUGACGGAUGGCGCCGGGUCAGGUGGUGCAAUAACCCCUAGGAGCUGAGCAGAGGCCGUCCGCCUCAUUUCACUCGGGGCUUGUCAGGCCAUCCAGUUCCUUUCUGUCUUGAGAAUGCACAGCCGGACCCCUGAAGGAUCUCAGCUUUUCCCUCGGGGCUUUUUCCUCUGUGCAAGGAGAAGGAAAGAACAAAAACAGGUAUAAAAACAUCAUCUUCCUGUCAAUAGAUGACUUGAUGACAGGCUGAAACACUUUCGUGUUGUGAUGAGAGGUGAAAUGUCACUGAAAUGUCAUUGCCUGAGAUGCAAGGAGGCUUUCGUGUCCCAAAAUGAUUUCCAGGAAGAUAAGAUUGAACGUAGCGCCACCCUGGUAAAUGAGCGAGACUUUUAAAUGCCUCGCUGAAACGCAAAGAACACUUCAUCAUAUCAAGGAGAUAUUUUAAAAGCUGCCUGAAAAUGCAUCCAGAAGGAAGAUGUCUCCCUCGAGACUUGUCAGAACAGGUCUAGCAACAGGCAGUGCAAGCUUCCUCACACGCUGCCCCACCACUGUGCCUCCAGGCCUUGCCUGCCAUGACUGACGCCAGGGGGUAAGUCAGUCUCACUGCUCAUGCUACUCUUGGGCUGUCUUCUGAGAUUGCAACCUGAGUUGGUAAAUAUGAUGGUUUUCAUGGUGUGGAAAGUAAGCUGCUGUGACACAGGCUUUUGGUUGAUAACAGGUAGUCUCUGACAACCAAGACAUACUUUGCUACACAUGUCAUCGCCUUGGGGGCCUGAUACCACAGAUAGGAGGAGGGGACAUGCUAUGCAAAGUGUGCCUGCCUUCCCAAUUAAAUGGAAAAUGCUAUGAUUAAAAACAGUCAGAAGUUAUUGGAUGGAUAGUGCUGAACUAGGGGCUCUGCACCUGCCUGUUCUGGUGCUACUAAUGGCCUAUUGGAUAGGGGCAAAUCCUGCACCUAUCUUAACAUCGGGCUCUGUACCCAGAGCGGGUCGAGCAGUAAAUAUAGGCACCUCCAGUUCUGUGGAAUAACACCAUUGCCUCACUUGGGUUAGCGAUAGCGUGAGAUGCUCGAUGUGAGUAAGAGGGUCGGAAACUAGCCCUAGGUGAAAUGUUGAAAUUAUAGAAGGACAGAAAUGUAAACCUCCCUUUGAAAUG
This is a long non-coding RNA of Gavialis gangeticus (Gharial), 1353 nucleotides long. RefSeq lists it as uncharacterized. The transcript is spliced from 4 exons. The record is from RefSeq and is a predicted model, not a curated record. Lineage: Eukaryota; Metazoa; Chordata; Crocodylia; Gavialidae.